GACAGUUUGGUCCCUAUCUGCCGUGGGCGUCGAAAUUUGAGAGGAGUUGACCCUAGUACGAGAGGACCGGGUUGAACAUACCUCUGGUGUACCUGUCGUGGCGCCAGCCGCGCAGCAGGGUAGCUAUGUAUGGACGGGAUAACCGCUGAAAGCAUCUAAGCGGGAAGCCUCCCUCAAGAUAAGAUUUCUUAGAGCCGUGGAAGACCACCACGUUGAUAGAUCGGAUGUAGAAGCGCGGUAACGCGUGGAGCUAACCGAUACUAAUUGCUCUAUUCGCGCUUGAA
This 284-nucleotide ribosomal RNA is filed under the name Sphingopyxis macrogoltabida. RNAcentral's name for it is "partial 23S ribosomal RNA". It matches the Rfam family "Bacterial large subunit ribosomal RNA", at positions 2625 to 2925 of the family's 2925-position model. Lineage: Bacteria; Pseudomonadati; Pseudomonadota; Alphaproteobacteria; Sphingomonadales; Sphingopyxidaceae. The record is from RNAcentral.